Molecule: transfer RNA, 72 nt
Filed under: Hedysarum polybotrys
Lineage: Eukaryota; Viridiplantae; Streptophyta; Magnoliopsida; Fabales; Fabaceae
Also listed under: 5 other names
Description: tRNA-Gln
Rfam family: tRNA
About the family: Transfer RNA (tRNA) molecules are approximately 80 nucleotides in length. Their secondary structure includes four short double-helical elements and three loops (D, anti-codon, and T loops).
Source: RNAcentral
UGGGGCGUGGCCAAGUGGUAAGGCAGCGGGUUUUGAUCCCGUUCAUCGGAGGUUCGAAUCCUUCCGUCCCAG